Molecule: ribosomal RNA, 172 nt
Filed under: uncultured bacterium
Lineage: Bacteria
Description: partial 16S ribosomal RNA
Rfam family: Bacterial small subunit ribosomal RNA
Source: RNAcentral
AGGCAGCAGUGGGGAAUAUUGCGCAAUGGGCGAAAGCCUGACGCAGCGACGCCGCGUGAGGGAUGAAGGUCUUCGGAUCGUAAACCUCUGUCAGGAGGGAAGAAGUGGUUAUAUGCGAAUAGUGUAUGACUUUGACGGUACCUCCAAAGGAAGCACCGGCUAACUCCGUGCC